GCGGCUCCAUCGUCGCGCCUCCACCCCUCUGAGGAAACCAUAUCAGCGGCCCGACGGUGGUCUGAGUGUGACGCCGCCGCCGCCUCCACCCCUAUGAAGGCCGCCUUCUCCGCGAUUUGAGUCCUUCCUUCCUGUUGGUGGUUCCGCCUCCAAAAAUUAGGGCCCGAUGCUCACCCAAGCUUUGAUGUGCUUCGCCGGCGACGACAGCGGAAAUGGCGGAAAUCUGGGUUUGUAAGUUUUGAUAUUCAAUCAGUCAAAAUCUGGGUUUGUAAUUUUGUGAUAAUUUAUUAAAAUGCUUCGAGCCACUUUUUGGUGAUUGGAGAUGGGUUUGUAAUUUUAGUGUUUGAAAACCCAUCUGUAAUUUUUCGCCGCAUUUGGGUGUAAUUUUUGGUGAUUGGAGAUGGGUUUGUAAUUCUUUGGGUGUAAUUUUUCGUGCAUUUUUUUGGAUUUUGUGUUUGACAACCGAUCUCUCGCCUUUCUUCCUUCCCUCUCUUCCACCGCCUUCCCUCUGUUGUCGCCGGAGUUCUGUAAAGGGAGGGUCGGUGGUGGCUUCUCUGCCUUGGCCAGAUCCGAUAGUACAAGGCCUACAAGCUUGAGUUGAGAUCUGAAACUAGUGGCUUUAGUUGCAGAAUUUCUUGGAUUUCUUGAAUUUGGGGGAAACACAUUUGUUGGACGGAGAUG
RNAcentral lists this long non-coding RNA (681 nucleotides) under Salvia miltiorrhiza (redroot sage). RNAcentral's name for it is "long non-coding RNA (SMIL_LNC004500)". Lineage: Eukaryota; Viridiplantae; Streptophyta; Magnoliopsida; Lamiales; Lamiaceae. The record is from RNAcentral.